GCGGUUGCCGUGGCAGCGCCGGCUCCAGGGAGGGCUGCUGGCGCCGGGCCGGGACCGCGGGGCCUGAGGCGGAGACCGGAGAGCCCGAGGCCCGGCCGGAGGCAGCUCGGGACAGGCUUGAGCGGCGGGGCGCGCUGCCCGGCCGGCGGGGAUGCGGGACCGGCUGCCAGACCUGACGGCGUGUAGGAAGAAUGAUGAUGGAGACACAGUUGUUGUGGUUGAGAAAGAUCAUUUCAUGGAUGAUUUCUUCCAUCAGGUGGAGGAGAUUAGAAACAGUAUUGAUAAAAUAACUCAAUAUGUUGAAGAAGUAAAGAAAAACCACAGCAUCAUUCUUUCUGCACCAAACCCGGAAGGAAAAAUAAAAGAAGAGCUUGAAGAUCUGAACAAAGAAAUCAAGAAAACUGCGAAUAAAAUUCGAGCCAAGUUAAAGGCUAUUGAACAAAGUUUUGAUCAGGAUGAGAGUGGGAACCGGACUUCAGUGGAUCUUCGGAUACGAAGAACCCAGCAUUCGGUGCUGUCUCGGAAGUUUGUGGAAGCCAUGGCGGAGUACAAUGAGGCACAGACUCUGUUUCGGGAGCGGAGCAAAGGCCGCAUCCAGCGCCAGCUGGAGAUAACAGGCUUUCAGGGUAGAACGUGUGCAGCCGGCCCUGUCUUCUGACUUGCUUGACAACACUUGGGACCACUGGUCAGGCUGGAUGAGCAUCUUGAUGAGAGGUUGCCUGUGCCGGAGGCAUCGUCUUCAGACCUCAUUGCAGAACAGCUUGGCAUGCACGAGUCGAGCAUCGGUCAUCACGGUGGUUUUGCUUCAGGAUGGCGUCACUCUGGCCACACAGCGGGCUGUCUUCAUACAGUGGUCUUCUCCAAAUCCUUGCACCUAAAACCAUUUUGUCCCCUUUCUUUCUUCCUUCCGUCAGCCCUGUCAUCAGGCAGGUUUCUUACCUUGUAUCACAGGAUAUCUUUUCCUGUGCUGUAUGCUUUGUUUCUUCAAAUGGCAAGUGAGUUUCUUCUUGGACCAGGGCAUGUUACAUAGGUCCACAGUGCUUUCUCUGGAAUGGUUGGGGCUGUAUGUGUUUCAGAGUUCAGAAUUUUUCAGAUUUUAGGAAGAUAGUACAAUGUAUAAGAGGUGUAUUAUGUAAUCCCCAGGUGGGGUCUAGGACUGCACCCUGUAAUCAGGCACAUUCACACAGCUCUCCAGUGAAAUCUGGGAGAACCACCACAGACGACGAGCUAGAAGAGAUGCUGGAGAGCGGGAAGCCAUCCAUCUUCACUUCCGACAUUAUAUCAGAUUCACAAAUUACUAGACAAGCUCUCAAUGAAAUCGAGUCACGUCACAAGGACAUCAUGAAGCUGGAGACCAGCAUCCGAGAGUUGCAUGAGAUGUUCAUGGACAUGGCUAUGUUUGUGGAGACUCAGGGUGAAAUGAUCAACAACAUAGAAAGAAAUGUUAUGAAUGCCACAGACUAUGUAGAACACGCUAAAGAAGAAACAAAAAAAGCUAUCAAAUAUCAGAGCAAGGCAAGAAGGCAACAACAUUGUCCUAGCAACCAUAUCCCAAGAGCCAUUUAUCCUUGAGACUCAGACCACAUCUGCAACCAAAUCAGCAUCCUGUCAUUUCGUGAAUGAAUCUCAGACGCUGUAACCCGGCAUCGAGUGCUGACCUUGUAAUGUAUGAGUUCACGGAAGAAGCACAACCGAACGUCUUGUUCAGUGACAGCGCCGUAAGCACAGUGGGUGUGAUGCGUGACCCUGAAUGACACACUACAGAAUGUGAGCAGUGUGAGACUUCUCUCACUGGCCUUGAAAUAAGAAAAUAUUGAACAUUUUAAUAUUAAAAAUAUUUCAGUGUUAACAAAUGUGCAUGAAGUUUAAUUAGGAAGGAAUGCUUUAUGUUAUGAAGGCUUUUUUUUUUUUUUUUGAGACGGAGUCUCGCUUUGUCAUCCAGGCUGGAGUGCAGUGGUGCGAUCUCAGCUCACUGCAACCUCGGCCUCCCGGGUUCAAGCAAUUCUCCUGCCUCAGCCUCCCGAGUAGCUGGGAUUACAGGCAUGGGCCACCACACCCAGCUAAUUUUUUGUGUUUUCUUUUUAGUAGAGACGGGGUUUUACCAUGCUGGCCAGGCUGGCCUCAAACUCCUGACCUUGUGAUCCACCCACCUCAGCCUCCCAAAGUGCUGGGAUUACAGGCGUGAGUCACCGGGCAGGCUGUUCUGAAGCUUUUAGAUCUCAGGUCUAAGGCUUCCUUUCCCUCCCUCUCCCAGCUAGUUUGUGCUAAUUAAGAGACCUUUUAUACUGUUUUAUUGCCUGUUUGAAGAAAUAAUUUUUAUCACGUUUUUGUAAGAUAUCUAUAAUUUUAAAUGUUUAUAAAUUGUUUAAUUUAUUAGCAUCUUAAUGUACCCCAUUUUUAUAUACUGAAUGUGGCCUUUUGAGUGAAAUAGGAAGCUUCAUGGUGUUGGAGCCACCUUUGUACAGUUGUUUAAAGUUUCCCAUUGUCACGGAAAACAUUGGCUGCAAAGCCCCUCAAAGCCCUCAAGUGCCUUCUGUGAGUUUAAAUGUGCUGGUGCCCUCCAGAAAAGCCUCGGCCUCAGCUCCGUUUCCGCCUGUUCCCUCCCCCAGGAUAAUGAAUGGUUACUGCACUGUAAAGACCGUGGUCUCUUUUCACUAAAUAGGAGAUUCGAGUUUCCCAGUUUACAUGAAUGAAGUCUGAAUUUAAGACGGUGAUGAAACUGAGGUUCAGUACUCUCGGGACUCGAGGAAAUUAUUCCUGAGACAUGGAGUAAUUCUUACAAAUUUAAACUAUUGUACAGAUCCACAUACAUGUUGUUAAGUACCUAAUGUUUUGCUGAACUUUUAAAAGUUAAUUUCCAAAAUGUAUAGGGAUUCAUGAUAAUUAAACCUUUUUAUUGCUCAUUUUUUUAGUAGAAGAAUAUCACUUAUUUUUAGACUUGUAAAAUGUAUGAACUGGUGAGCGGACAUCUGUUAAGAGAGUCACUAGUCAGAAUGUUAAAGGAGUGCAUGCAGGAUGCCCCAAAUGUCGUGAACUCUUGUUACUCCUGUAUGUAGUAGUGUAAGCAUGUGACUUUUAACACCAUUUGGUUUGAAACUAAUGUAGAGAUGCCUGAUUCCAAACAGGUGUGGAGAAUAUUGAAUGGCUCAGAAGCCGCGUCCCUUACUUAACACAAUUCCGAAUCUCCCUCAUCCAUGAUGCGUCCAUUGGAUCACUCGCUGGUGGUCACUGUGUGGCAGUUACUAGGGGAAUUCUGCCUCUGACUGUUCUUUUUCUUUUGGUCUUUAAACACCCUGUCGUGGGAUGUGCUCACUGAUUUGUGGCUAUGUUGAAGGUAUCACUUGUCUUGAGGGUUUUCAAUAUUUCAGGAUCAUGCUGGUGGCAAAAGGACUCCACGCCUCUGUGGAAUCAUGUCCACAGGGGGACCUGCCUCCCGUGAUGUCCCACCUUUCCUUCAAGGUCUGUCAUAUGAGUCCUCCCCUUUUACAACACUUAUUAUGGUAUUUUUCAAGUUAUUCUUCUUAGAUUUGCAGUACCUACUGAAAUUUGUGUUUUUAUAGUUGAAGUUAGGAAAAUGCUAUUUGAUUUGUAUUUAGAUAUUUAAGUCACUUGUCCAAUGAUGUGUAUGUCUAAGCCUCAUGUACCGAUUUGAAGUCAGACUUAAAAAUGUAUUUACAGAUUCACUUGAGACUUUUUAAUCGGUUCUUCAAAUAUUUCAUGUUUACAUUAAAAAUUUCCAGAGAAGCAUAAAAGUAUUCACUUUCCUGCCUUGUCAUUUCUGGAAAGAUUUUGGGGAGAUAUUUUAUUGCAUAUUAAUUAAUAAAUUGUUCUACUAGGAAAA
Homo sapiens (human) is the source of this 3841-nucleotide RNA transcript. It is a transcript of the gene named syntaxin 2, with no coding region annotated. Lineage: Eukaryota; Metazoa; Chordata; Mammalia; Primates; Hominidae. The transcript is spliced from 11 exons. The record is from RefSeq and is marked reviewed.